This 75-nucleotide transfer RNA is filed under the name Rickettsia canadensis str. McKiel. RNAcentral describes it as "tRNA-Asn (GTT) (tRNA-Asn-GTT-1-1)". It matches the Rfam family "tRNA". Rfam says of the family: Transfer RNA (tRNA) molecules are approximately 80 nucleotides in length. Their secondary structure includes four short double-helical elements and three loops (D, anti-codon, and T loops). Lineage: Bacteria; Pseudomonadati; Pseudomonadota; Alphaproteobacteria; Rickettsiales; Rickettsiaceae. The record is from RNAcentral. RNAcentral also lists the same sequence under 2 other names.
UCCUCGGUAGCUCAGUGGUAGAGCAAACGGCUGUUAACCGUUCGGUCGCUGGUUCGAAUCCGGCUCGGGGAGCCA